RNAcentral lists this ribosomal RNA (465 nucleotides) under uncultured bacterium. Its description in RNAcentral is "partial 16S ribosomal RNA". It matches the Rfam family "Bacterial small subunit ribosomal RNA", at positions 338 to 795 of the family's 1533-position model. The record is from RNAcentral.
CCUACGGGGGGCUGCAGUGGGGAAUAUUGCGCAAUGGGCGAAAGCCUGACGCAGCGACGCCGCGUGAGGGAUGAAGGUCUUCGGAUCGUAAACCUCUGUCAGCAGGGAAGAACGGUCACUGUGCUAAUCAGCAGUGAAUUGACGGUACCUGCAAAGGAAGCACCGGCUAACUCCGUGCCAGCAGCCGCGGUAAUACGGGGGGUGCGAGCGGUAAUCGGAAUUACUUGGCGUAAGGGGCUCGUAGGCGGUAUGUCAAGUCAAGGGUGAAAUCCCCGCGCUCAACGUGGGAACUGCCUGUGAAACUGGCAAACUGGAGUGUGUGAGAGGAUAGUGGAAUUCCAGGUGUAGGAGUGAAAUCCGUAGAUAUCUGGAGGAACAUCAGUGGCGAAGGCGACUAUCUGGCACAUAACUGACGCUGAGGAGCGAAAGCGUGGGUAGCAAACAGGAUUAGAUACCCUAGUAGUC